This 861-nucleotide ribosomal RNA is filed under the name uncultured bacterium. Its description in RNAcentral is "bacterial SSU rRNA". It matches the Rfam family "Bacterial small subunit ribosomal RNA", at positions 55 to 916 of the family's 1533-position model. The record is from RNAcentral.
AUGCAAGUCGANCGGUAAGAUCUNGCUUGCGAGAUACACGAGUGGCGCACGGGUGCGUAACGCGUAUGCAACCUACNUUCAACUGGAGAAUAGCCCCGAGAAAUCGGGAUUAAUACUUCAUAAUANCCAUUUAUCACAUGUUAGUUGGAUUAAAGCUCCGGCGGUUGGAGAUGGGCAUGCGUGACAUUAGUUUGUUGGUGAGGUAACGGCCCACCAAGACUACGAUGUCUAGGGGUUCUGAGAGGAUUUUCCCCCACACUGGUACUGAGACACGGACCAGACUCCUACGGGAGGCAGCAGUAAGGAAUAUUGGGCAAUGGACGAAAGUCUGACCCAGCCAUGCCGCGUGCAGGAUGACAGCCCUAUGGGUUGUAGACUGCUUUUAUACGGGAAGAAUCCCCUGUACGUGUACAGGGUUGACGGUACCGUACGAAUAAGCAUCGGCUAACUCCGUGCCAGCAGCCGCGGUAAUACGGAGGAUGCAAGCGUUAUCCGGAUUCAUUGGGUUUAAAGGGUGCGUAGGCGGCAUGUUAAGUUAGUGGUGAAAUCCCCCGGCUCAACCGGGGAACUGCCAUUAAAACUGCCAUUCUUGAGUAUAGUUGAAGUGGGCGGAAUGUAUCAUGUAGCGGUGAAAUGCUUAGAUAUGAUACAGAACACCGAUAGCGUAGGCAGCUCGCUAAACUAUAACUGACGCUCAGGCACGAAAGCGUGGGGAGCAAACAGGAUUAGAUACCCUGGUAGUCCACGCCGUAAACGAUGAUCACUCGCUGUUGGCGAUACACAGUCAGCGGCUAAGGGAAACCGUUAAGUGAUCCACCUGGGGAGUACGAUCGCAAGAUUGAAACUCAAAUGAAUUGACGG